RNAcentral lists this ribosomal RNA (498 nucleotides) under uncultured bacterium. Its description in RNAcentral is "partial 16S ribosomal RNA". It matches the Rfam family "Bacterial small subunit ribosomal RNA", at positions 28 to 507 of the family's 1533-position model. The record is from RNAcentral.
GACGAACGCUGGCGGCGUGCCUAAUACAUGCAAGUCGAGCGGACGGAUGGGAGCUUGCUCCCAGACCGUCAGCGGCGGACGGGUGAGUAACACGUGGGCAACCUGCCUGUAAGACUGGGAUAACUCCGGGAAACCGGGGCUAAUACCGGAUAACUCUUUCCCUCACAUGAGGGAAAGCUGAAAGAUGGCAUCUCGCUAUCACUUACAGAUGGGCCCGCGGCGCAUUAGCUAGUUGGUGAGGUAACGGCUCACCAAGGCGACGAUGCGUAGCCGACCUGAGAGGGUGAUCGGCCACACUGGGACUGAGACACGGCCCAGACUCCUACGGGAGGCAGCAGUAGGGAAUCUUCCGCAAUGGACGAAAGUCCGACGGAGCAACGCCGCGUGAGUGAUGAAGGUUUUCGGAUCGUAAAACUCUGUUGUCAGGGAAGAACAAGUACCGGAGUAACUGCCGGUACCUUGACGGUACCUGACCAGAAAGCCACGGCUAACUACGUG